UACGUAGGGUCCGAGCGUUGUCCGGAGUUACUGGGCGUAAAGCGCGCGCAGGCGGUCGCUCAAGCGGCACGUGAAAGCCCCGGGCUUAACUCGGGAGGGUCGUGGCGAACUGGGCGACUUGAGGCCGGUAGAGGUGGGUGGAACUCCUGGUGGAGUGGUGAAAUGCGUAGAGAUCAGGAAGAACACCCGUGGCGAAGGCGGCCCACUGGGCCGGUACUGACGCUGAGGCGCGAAGGCGUGGGGAGCGAACGGG
RNAcentral lists this ribosomal RNA (253 nucleotides) under uncultured bacterium. RNAcentral's name for it is "partial 16S ribosomal RNA". It matches the Rfam family "Bacterial small subunit ribosomal RNA", at positions 524 to 776 of the family's 1533-position model. The record is from RNAcentral.